Lupinus angustifolius (narrow-leaved blue lupine) is the source of this 119-nucleotide non-coding RNA. Lineage: Eukaryota; Viridiplantae; Streptophyta; Magnoliopsida; Fabales; Fabaceae. The record is from Rfam.
AGGUGCGAUCAUACCAACACUAAUGCACUGGAUCACAUCAGAACACCGCAGUGACGCGUGCUUGGGAGAGAGUAGUACUAGGAUGGGUGACCUACUGGGAAGCCCUCGUGUUGCACCUC